AGAGUUUGAUCCUGGCUCAGGACGAACGCUGGCGGCGUGCUUAACACAUGCAAGUCGAACGAUGAACCACUUCGGUGGGGAUUAGUGGCGAACGGGUGAGUAACACGUGGGCAAUCUGCUCUUCACUCUGGGACAAGCCCUGGAAACGGGGUCUAAUACCGGAUACGACCACUACGGGCAUCCGUGGUGGUGGAAAGCUCCGGCGGUGAAGGAUGAGCCCGCGGCCUAUCAGCUUGUUGGUGAGGUAAUGGCUCACCAAGGCGACGACGGGUAGCCGGCCUGAGAGGGCGACCGGCCACACUGGGACUGAGACACGGCCCAGACUCCUACGGGAGGCAGCAGUGGGGAAUAUUGCACAAUGGGCGAAAGCCUGAUGCAGCGACGCCGCGUGGAGGUAGAAGGCCCACGGGUCGUGAACUUCUUUUCCCGGAGAAGAAGCAAUGACGGUAUCUGGGGAAUAAGCAUGCGGCUAACUCUGUGCCAGCAGCCGCGGUAAUAAU
This 500-nucleotide ribosomal RNA is filed under the name uncultured Streptomyces sp. RNAcentral's name for it is "bacterial SSU rRNA". It matches the Rfam family "Bacterial small subunit ribosomal RNA", at positions 8 to 527 of the family's 1533-position model. Lineage: Bacteria; Bacillati; Actinomycetota; Actinomycetes; Kitasatosporales; Streptomycetaceae. The record is from RNAcentral.